This is a long non-coding RNA of Asparagus officinalis (garden asparagus), 340 nucleotides long. RefSeq lists it as uncharacterized. Lineage: Eukaryota; Viridiplantae; Streptophyta; Magnoliopsida; Asparagales; Asparagaceae. The transcript is spliced from 3 exons. The record is from RefSeq and is a predicted model, not a curated record.
CUCAUUUGUGCAUGCUAGGUAGCAAUAAAGUUCGAGCAUAGAAGCAGUAAAGGCUGAAAUUAUGGACCACCUUAUGAGUGGCAAGUAUACAAGUGAUGGAUAUGUUGGGAGUCUAUGGGAUGUUUGGUAUGGGAUGUUUGGAAUAAUAACUCCUAUGCAAUGUCAACAGAAAUGGUUGCUUGUAUUGCUAUUGAAGCAAUCUCUAUUUUAGAGAAGAUGCAUUCUAAAGGGUAGGCCUGCUCUUUACGCUAUGAAGAUGCAGAAUCUCAAUUUAUGUAAAAGUUUGUAAACAAUUUAUGUAUCUCUCUACUAUUUUGGUGAAUGUAUUAUUUGAAUAUAA